RNAcentral lists this unclassified non-coding RNA (344 nucleotides) under soil metagenome. Its description in RNAcentral is "partial contains 5.8S ribosomal RNA, internal transcribed spacer 2, and large subunit ribosomal RNA". The stretch from base 1 to 120 matches the Rfam family "5.8S ribosomal RNA", at positions 35 to 154 of the family's 154-position model. The record is from RNAcentral.
GAUGAAGAACGCAGCGAAAUGCGACAAGUAAUGUGAAUUGCAGAAUUCCGUGAGUCAUCGAAUCUUUGAACGCACAUUGCGCCCACUGGUAUUCCGGUGGGCAUGCCUGUUCGAGCGUCAUUAUCCUCCCUCAAACCCCGGGUUUGGUGUUGGACCCAAGUUGUGUGAACAACUGGUCUCAAAGACAAUGACGGCGUCCGUGGGACCCUCGGUGCAACGAGCUUUUAGGAGCACGCAUCGAGUUGCAAGGACCUUCCGGGCCGGUCUCCUUUACCAUUUUACAAGGUUGACCUCGGAUCAGGUAGGAAUACCCGCUGAACUUAAGCAUAUCAAUAAGCGGAGGA